ACGGGGCGCAGCAGGCGCGAAACCUUUACACUGUACGCMAGUGCGAUAAGGGGACUCCGAGUGUGAAGGCAUAGAGCCUUCACUUUUGUACACCGUAAGGUGGUGUACGAAUAAGGGCUGGGCAAGACCGGUGCCAGCCGCCGCGGUAAUACCGGCAGCCCGAGUGAUGGCCGAUAUUAUUGGGCCUAAAGCGUCCGUAGCUGGCCGGACAAGUCCGUUGGGAAAUCUGUUCGCUUAACGAGCAGGCGUCCAGCGGAAACUGUUCGGCUUGGGACCGGAAGACCUGAGGGGUACGUCCGGGGUAGGAGUGAAAUCCUGUAAUCCUGGACGGACCACCGGUGGCGAAAGCGCCUCAGGAGGACGGAUCCGACAGUGAGGGACGAAAGCUAGGGUCUCGAACCGGAUUAGAUACCCNCGUAGUCC
This 423-nucleotide ribosomal RNA is filed under the name uncultured archaeon. RNAcentral's name for it is "bacterial SSU rRNA". It matches the Rfam family "Archaeal small subunit ribosomal RNA", at positions 325 to 747 of the family's 1478-position model. The record is from RNAcentral.